CCUACGGGUGGCAGCAGUGGGGAAUAUUGCACAAUGGGGGAAACCCUGAUGCAGCGACGCCGCGUGAGUGAAGAAGUAUUUCGGUAUGUAAACCUCUAUCAGCAGGGAAGAAAAUGACGGUACUUGAUUAAGAAGCAGCGGCUAACCAAGUGCCAGCAGCCGCGGUAAUACGUAGGGGGCAAGCGUGAUCCGGAUUUACUGGGUGUAAAGGGAGUGUAGACGGCUGCACAAGUCUGGUGUGAAGUGCAGGGGCUUAACCCCGGAACUGCUUUGGAAACUGUGCAGCUAGAGUGCAGGAGAGGUGAGUAGAAUUCCUAGUGUAGCGGUGAAAUGCGUAGAUAUUAGGAGGAACACCAGUGGCGAAGGCGGGUUACUGGACUGUAACUGACGUUGAGGCUCGAAAGCGUGGGGAGCAAACAGGAUUAGAUACCCCUGUAGUC
RNAcentral lists this ribosomal RNA (440 nucleotides) under uncultured bacterium. RNAcentral describes it as "partial 16S ribosomal RNA". It matches the Rfam family "Bacterial small subunit ribosomal RNA", at positions 338 to 795 of the family's 1533-position model. The record is from RNAcentral.